CAACCCCUAAGCCUUAGUUGUUUAGCGUUGGGAGUUUGCAUCCCCGCGGUUAGCCGCGGCGCAACUCCUUAAAUUUCGUGGUAGGGCUCGCAUCGCCUUGAAGUGUAGUAAUUAUCUUCUCACUUUUAGAAGGCGUUUGCGCGGCACAGCCAGGUAAAACCUUAUAUAUAUAUCAAGU
This 178-nucleotide unclassified non-coding RNA is filed under the name uncultured Xylariaceae. RNAcentral describes it as "sequence contains ITS2". The record is from RNAcentral. Lineage: Eukaryota; Fungi; Ascomycota; Sordariomycetes; Xylariales; Xylariaceae.